UUCCACCUCUCUGGUCUUAGGAUGAUGUCAAAGCAAUGUGGGGGAGAAAUGUCAUCUACAUUUCAAACUUUUACAGGGAGCUCCCAAUGUGAAAACAGCCCCUAUUGAUGUACGUCUGGAAUUAUAGAUAAUUUAUCUUAGAGAGUUGCCUACAGACACGUAGCCAAAAUGUUCCAGAGGAAACACUUAAACUCAGAUCUCCUUAACUCUCAGGGGAAAUGGACAAGACAAUGUGGAAGAUCUACAGAAACCAAGCCCCUUUACUGGAAAAACAACCAAAGUACACAUACCCCUCCUGCCCAGACGUGUGCGGCAUUUCAAAUUACACAGGCACAUUUGUAGACUCAGAGACUCCAGACUAAAAGAUCUUCCUUCCCAUUAGCUUCUCCUUCUGUUUAUCAGCUAAACAAAAAUAUUUCUGCAAAUAUUGGUAAUCGAUCAAAUUAUUUGUUCGUUAAUUGCAAGAAAUGUUAUAGCUGCCAUCUCUGUGGAAUUAGCUUUCUUAAUAACAUUUUCAUU
This is a non-coding RNA of Phascolarctos cinereus (koala), 519 nucleotides long. Lineage: Eukaryota; Metazoa; Chordata; Mammalia; Diprotodontia; Phascolarctidae. The record is from RefSeq and is a predicted model, not a curated record.